CAGGCAAAAUGUAACGAUGAAAGUGCUGCUCUUGUAAAAAUCGACGAUGCACUUGAAAAUUCAUUCAUAUUUUCCUCUGGAGGUAUAUAUAUAAUUAUCUUACGCUCCUUUACAAUUAAUAAUCAAUUGCAAUUAUUAUAAUAAAAUAUUUGUGUUGUUCAGUUUUUUGUUUUUUUAUGUAGUGGUUAGUAUCCUGUUACGUGUCUUUUCGUCAUUUUACAUUUUUCGUUCUGUAUCUAUGAGUCACUUUUAAAAGUUUUGUUUCUUUCUUCGAUGUCUUGCCCCUCUUUUUGCAAAUAUUGUUAUUUUUGAAAUAAUUCUUUACUUUCGUGUCACAUGUAAGUAUUAAAUAUGUAAUAUCUUGAUAAAGAGCGUUACUAAGAAAGAAGGAAUUGUGUCAUGUUAUAGUUAAGGUUUUGAUAGAUUGUUUCGGUGAUUUUUUUUUUGUUUGUUCCUUAUCAUAUUACAGAUCCAUCUAUUUAAGGUUGUACCUAACACUACAGGGAGAUAACUCUGUACAAUCAACUAAACAUUUUAAUUAAGUUGCGUUGUUAAGGGAAUAUUAAGCUUCUCAAUGAUCAAAAUUAGUGUUUGUCAAACUGCUAUAUAACUAGAGUAAUUUUUCUGAUAAAAUGGUUGGUUUAAAUGUUAAUUUUUUUUAUAUUUUUGUCAAAGGGUCAAAGUUAAUCCUUUGUCAAAAUUUAACGAAAAUUAAACAAACCAAAUUAAUUUUAGUGAAGGUGUUGGGUACCACCUUAACAAACAUCAAACUGCUUCGGUUCAAUCCAACUUAUUAUAGCAAAAACGACAAUUAAACAAAUAAAUUCAAUAAACAAACUUUGUUACAUCAUUUUAACCUGACGCUUUUUUCUGACGUUUACAUGUAUUUUUCGAUCCUCGAUCUAUCACUGCUUUACUUAGAUUUAAACUAAUUGAUUUCAUUUAAUAAAUACAAAAAGAAUAUAAUUACUAUCCUAAUUCUAAGAGUAAAACUUAAUUUAAUGCUAGCAUAUCAAAACGUUAAACAUUGCUAUAUUUUAUUCAUUUAUUGCUGUUAUAUAGGUUUGCCUAAUACAUAUGUGCCUGGGGAAGGUAAGUAAACUUCAUUUAUUUUAGAUGUAAAUUACUCAAUUUGCCAUCUAUAUGAUAUGUGUUUAUAUUGAACACAUCGUACAUUUCAUAGCAUGAUUUAUCACCGGAUGUAAGGGAGUGAUACUUGGCUUGUUGAAAUAAAGAAAGCUUCUCUUUACUUCUCAAACAUUGUAUAUUUUUUCAGUCGUUCAACUAUAAACAUUUUAUGAUU
Molecule: long non-coding RNA, 1303 nt
Filed under: Mytilus galloprovincialis (Mediterranean mussel)
Lineage: Eukaryota; Metazoa; Mollusca; Bivalvia; Mytilida; Mytilidae
Source: RNAcentral